AGCACGACUCUCAGCAACGGAUAUCUCAGCUCUCACCACGAUGAAGAAUGUAGCAAAAUGCGAUGCUUAGUGUGAACUACAGAAUCCCGUGAAUCAUCGAGUCUUUGAACGCAAGUUGCGCCCGAGGCCUUGGCCGAGGGCACGUCUGCUUGGGUGUCGCAC
This 162-nucleotide ribosomal RNA is filed under the name Glyptostrobus pensilis. RNAcentral describes it as "5.8S ribosomal RNA". It matches the Rfam family "5.8S ribosomal RNA". Rfam says of the family: 5.8S ribosomal RNA (5.8S rRNA) is a component of the large subunit of the eukaryotic ribosome. It is transcribed by RNA polymerase I as part of the 45S precursor that also contains 18S and 28S rRNA. The record is from RNAcentral. Lineage: Eukaryota; Viridiplantae; Streptophyta; Pinopsida; Cupressales; Cupressaceae.